GACGAACGCUGGCGGCGUGCCUAAUACAUGCAAGUUGAGCGCUGAAGGUUGGUACUUGUACCGACUGGAUGAGCAGCGAACGGGUGAGUAACGCGUGGGGAAUCUGCCUUUGAGCGGGGGACAACAUUUGGAAACGAAUGCUAAUACCGCAUAAAAACUUUAAACACAAGUUUUAAGUUUGAAAGAUGCAAUUGCAUCACUCAAGGAUGAUCCCGCGUUGUAUUAGCUAGUUGGUGAGGUAAAGGCUCACCAAGGCGAUGAUACAUAGCCGACCUGAGAGGGUGAUCGGCCACAUUGGGACUGAGACACGGCCCAAACUCCUACGGGAGGCAGCAGUAGGGAAUCUUCGGCAAUGGACGAAAGUCUGACCGAGCAACGCCGCGUGAGUGAAGAAGGUUUUCGGAUCGUAAAACUCUGUUGGUAGAGAAGAACGUUGGUGAGAGUGGAAAGCUCAUCAAGUGACGGUAACUACCCAGAAAGGGACGGCUAACUACGUG
Molecule: ribosomal RNA, 497 nt
Filed under: uncultured bacterium
Lineage: Bacteria
Description: partial 16S ribosomal RNA
Rfam family: Bacterial small subunit ribosomal RNA
Source: RNAcentral